Molecule: ribosomal RNA, 1231 nt
Filed under: metagenome
Description: bacterial SSU rRNA
Rfam family: Bacterial small subunit ribosomal RNA
Source: RNAcentral
GUCUGAGAGGAUGGUCAGCCACACUGGGACUGAGACACUGCCCAGACUCCUACGGGAGGCUGCAGUCGAGGAUCAUUCGCAAUGCGCGAAAGCGUGACGGUGCGACGCCGCGUGCAGGAUGAAGGCCUUCGGGUUGUAAACUGCUGUCAUGAGGGAACAAUGUCCAAAAUAUUAACACUAUUUUGGGGUGAUAGUACCUCAAGAGGAAGCCACGGCUAACUCUGUGCCAGCAGCCGCGGUAAUACAGAGGCGGCGAGCGUUGUUCGGAUUUACUGGGCGUAAAGGGUGCGUAGGCGGUUUUGUGUGUCAGAUGUGAAAUAUCACAGCUCAACUGUGGAAUUGCAUUUGAAACUACAGGGCUGGAGUACAGGAGAGGAGAGCGGAAUUCUCGGUGUAGCGGUGAAAUGCGUAGAUAUCGAGAGGAACACCGGUGGCGAAGGCGGCUCUCUGGACUGAUACUGACGCUGAGGCACGAAAGCUGGGGGAGCAAACAGGAUUAGAUACCCUGGUAGUCCCAGCCUUAAACGGUGUGCACUUGGUGUAGGGAGGAUUGUCCCUUCCCGCGCCGGAGCUAACGCGUUAAGUGCACCGCCUGGGGAGUACGGUCGCAAGAUUAAAACUCAAAGGAAUUGACGGGGGCCCGCACAAGCGGUGGAGCAUGUGGCUUAAUUCGAUGCACGCGAAGAACCUUACCUGGACUUGACAUGCUGGUAGUAGGAGCCUGAAAGGGCAACGACCCUGCAAGGGGAGCCAGCACAGGUGCUGCAUGGCUGUCGUCAGCUCGUGCCGUGAGGUGUUAGGUUAAGUCCUGCAACGAGCGCAACCCUUGUGAUUAGUUGCUAUGUUCGAUGAUGAAUUGGACAGCACUCUAAUCAGACUGCCUGUGAAAAGCAGGAGGAAGGUGGGGAUGACGUCAAGUCAGUAUGGUCCUUAUGUCCAGGGCUGCACACGUGCUACAAUGAUCGGUACAAAAGGAUGCAAAGCCGCGAGGUGGAGCAAAUCCAAAAAAAACCGAUCUCAGUUCAGAUUGAAGGCUGCAACUCGUCUUCAUGAAGCUGGAAUCGCUAGUAAUGGCACAUCAGCUACGGUGCCGUGAAUACGUUCCCGGGCCUUGUACACACCGCCCGUCACAUCAUGAGAGUCGACUGCACCCGAAGUCGUCUAUACAACCUGCAAAGGAGAAAGACGCCGAAGGUGUGGUUGAUGAUUGGGAUGAAGUCGUAACAAGGUA